GCACCCCGCUCCGUCCUCGCCUCGCGGCUCCCCUCCCGUAACCCUACCCCCUCCUCUCCUCUGCGCCGCCGCCGCCGCCGCCGCCAGUCCUCCUCCCCUCACACCGCGCCCGCACGGCCCUGCUACGCCGCUGCCGCUCGCCCUUUGGGUGAGAAACCUAGCCGGCUCCACUCGCGCGCCUCCCUCCCUCCCAGUCCUUCCUCUCUCCCAUCGCAGUCGCCACCUACCGCUCGCGCCGCCGCAUCCCCGUCGAGGUCGUGCAUCACAUCUUCGUGAGUUGAGGAAGCUGGCGCUGCUCUUCCCGGAGGAGCGCGCUGUCGCACCGUCAACGGGAGAAGGUCAGGCGGAGCGCACCGUCGCCGCUGGCUGGCGCGUCGACGGGAGGAGGCCAGGCAGUCCGCGCCGUCACCCGCUCGUGCUCCUCGCUGGUGUGCGCAGCCACGCCUGCUCCACCCGAGCUCGUGCACGCCGACCACCCCCGGUCCUGACCUAGGGUUUGGUGGGGUGAGCUUGCAGCCAUCCGCUUCGGUGGCCCACCAGCCGCGCAGCAUCCACACCCAGACGGGAAGAGCACAUGUCGUCGUUGUUCUAUCAGGAGGAGAGCACCGUCACCAUCACCCAACCGUCCUCCCCCCCUGAUUGUUUCAGAUUGGAAGUGGCUUGCACACAUAAAUCCAAGCAAGUUGACGGGAGGAUUCAUCUGUGCAUUUGAGCUACAGGGAGACUCCUGCAGCAGUUGGGCUCUGGUACGGCAAGUUCUGCAAUGCGGGGUGGAGCGGCUAUGGAGGGAGGACCCCUGCGAUGACCUCGAUGCCUGCUGCAGCGACCAUGACCACUGCAUCAAAAAGGAAGGUACUAACUAAGCUACAUACAUAUUCCUAGCUUCGGGAAGAAAGGACUAGAUCGGUCAACACGGGCUUCCCUGAACAACCAUACAUCAUGUUGCGUUAUUUUGACAUGCGAAUUCAAUUGCUAGCAAUGAUUGAUGGGCUGAGCCAGCAGUGACUUUUGUGGCUAGAAAGUUUCAGACUUUUUAGUCUCUGCUUGCUCUAUUCUGUUCUUUCAUUUACAACCACUAUUUGAACAGCUCUGCAUGAUAGGUAUAACAAGUUGUGUUGUCGUCUUAUUCUCGAAUAACUAGCUGCAACUGCAUUUGUGUUGCGUUGUGGCGUGAUCAUUGGAUGGUGGAUUAGCACCAGUGCCUAACUAUGUUCCUAGAAUGUAAAAUUUGGAUAAGCAUAGUUCACUUUUGUAUCUCAGCCUAGAUUGAUUGAAAUAAUUGCUUGCAAAAACUUAUAUGGUAGGAAACUAAAAACUAGAUAAGAUAUGUAGAUGCAAUCUUUUGUUUCCUGUAUAGGAUAAUUUGUUUAUCUAUUUAUUUGAUCCUUACCGUCGGUUGUCCAUGAUGGAAUGGAAGUUAAAGUUAGCAUCUAAACUGAUGGAAUGGAAGUUAAAGUUAGCAUGUAAACUGAUUAAUUAAUGAAUAUUUCUAUCUCCACUAUUCUGUUGUGUGGGCAAUUUCUUGCCAUUGGUCCAUUAUAACCCUUAUUAGAUAUGCUGCAACAUGCUCCUAUCUGAAAUUGAUGAUUCCUAUUUUUUGUUGAAAAUUACUUGUCUAUUUUGCAUCUAGAAUUUUAGUUUAGAUAAGGUUACUCUCAGGAAAAACUAGGCAGCAGGAGGAAAAGGUAUGCCCCGAAGGCCAACUCUGCCUCUUAUAUCUUUAUUAGUAUUUUUAUGUGUUUUGCUACACAGCCGUGUGUUGAUUAGUGCGUACAUAACUCACCCUGAUCGUUCGAUUGAACAUGGCUACUACACCUGAAUUGCAGAGCUGGCUGGGUUUUUUUGAUUAAUUAUAUGGUGAUGCCGUCAUGAGCUCAAGGGUUUGCGGUUGUUUUGUAGGCAGCGGCUCAAAAUUCAGAAACAACAAAAAAACAUUAGGUUGAUUCAGCAGACGAAAAAAUUAGGAAUAGGAUCUUCAUAUCUAUGUUUACUCGAAAAAAAAUUAGGUAUACUAGCUAGCUAACUGUAUCUCUCAGUCUCAUGAUUAUCCUGUAGCUAAGUCUCUUCCAUGUGCAUAUUCUAUGUUAGUGCAUAACCUGUUAGCUGCUUAUUUACUCUUUGUUUUAAUUGGUUAGAAAAAGCACUACAUGAUCAUGGUUCUGAUUGUACACCUUUUUAGCUAAUGGUGUCCUUAAGCAUGUGGUUGCCACUGAGACGCUAAGAGAUGCCGCAGAUAAUUAAACUAAUCAAGGCACAAUUUUUUGACCACAGAUCAAGCUUAUCUCUUCUGCAGAGAAAAAUAAUGCAGGGGAAAAAGCAUGGCGUGCCACCAGCUCAUCUAUGAGAAUUGUUUAUUUAGCUUUGCGUAAUUAUUGCAAGCAACAAUUAUUUGAUUAUUAUUCUGUUUUCGUGCAUUUUUCUAAGAUUGUCGUUAACCACCUUUAGAAAUAACUCAUGCAUUUUAUAAUAGUAUGACUGAAUGAUUUUUAACAAAGACAAUUUCUGAACCCUGUUAUCAUAGAAUGGUUAUUGUGAACAAAAUACCAAUCCUUUUCUUCAUUUUCUCUAUCAAUGUGUUGCCGUUUCAUCAUACCCUCGGUUUCAUCUUUACAUGCCUCUUACCUAUCUAUGUGUUACAGCUUGUAUGUCAUUUGUAUUUUAUUUCUACUGUAUUCUAUAAUCUGAUGCAAUUAUGCAAAACCAUAGAAGAUUCUGACAGACUAAGUGGUUCUUAAUUCUCUGUUCGAGGAAAUUUAGAAUGAAGGCCAAACCGGCUAAGUGGAAAGCAAAGUGGUAGAUAAAAUUGGAAAUCUGCUUGAGAUGGACAAGGUUGCAUUUCUGCCUUCCAAAAUUCGCUCUUCCAGAUCACUAAAGGUGCAAAAGUUGAUCCAAGAGCGACUCUGGCACCUCACAACCUGCUAACUAAUGCAUUAUUGAUAUGUAUAUUCUCCAUUAAAAUUUUGUGUGUUCUGCGCUAUUGUCACCUCUUUUCUGUGAUAUAUAACAGUGCCUAGAAUAUAAUUGGUUAUGUUCCUAUAUUUAACUUCACUCUAGGUUGGCAAAAAUUCAUAUUCUGUUCAAAAGCAUGUCAUCAAUAGUCAAAUGCUUCAGAACAGAAUGUGUUGUUUUAUUUUUUAUUUCUAUCAUAUAUAUUCUGCUUUGUUCUACAUAUGUAUGAUUUAUACUGGGGCAUAUGUAUAUCAUGCUUGCACCUUAAUCUUUCCUUGAGAAAUACCAGAGGAUGGGUCACUACUAUAGAUAGGUACCGUGCGCCAAGGCACACUCCAUCAUGUUAGUCUAUGCCCCCUUCCUCGGGUUCUGGAUUCUUGGCAUGCCUAUUGUUGUGCUCAGGCUGAUGAGGCAUCCUUGCAUUAAUGGAUUGAGAAUCAAAGAUCACAGGUUGAAUGUAUGAAUAUCUAAGCGGACUACUUAAUCUAUUUACUGAAGCAAGACAUGUUUAUAUGUCUAAAUGUCUCGCGUUGAGAGAGAAAAAAUAGCGUAUGUCGAUCUGGACAAUAUAUAUAUGUUGCUUACAUGUUUAUCCUUCAGAGUAUUCCAAACCCCAGUUCUAUGUCUUUUUCUUGAAACUAUUGUUUUGUUGAUUCAAAUUAUUUAAUGAACUAUGUUUUUUUAAUCUUAUGUAAUUAAAUGUCAAUCCCAAGGCGUCUUUGUAUAUUUGAAGUAAUUCUCAGAAGGUCGCAUCCAACGUUUACGAGUCGAAAGAGUUGAUGAGUCAUUCCAAGGUUGAGACUCAUAGACUAGUCUAGACUAGUGCGAGACUAGUCGACAUGGUACUGUAGCACUGAACUUACAGUACAUAACUAAUAAUACCUAGUAGUAGUAUGUAGUAUUACACUAUAUAAGUAUACAAGUAUAGUAUACAAUUGAAACAAGCAAAGUGGAGUCACUGAGGCAGAGCAGCACCAGCAACUAGCAGCAAGCACAGCAGCACCAGCAGUCUAUCUGCGAGCAGAGCAGCACCAACAGCAAGCAGAGCAGCACCAGCAGUCCAGCAGCGGAGCAGAGCAACAGCAGCGGCAAGCCAAGAAGAAAGAGGAGGAGAAAGGAGGGGCAAGGCAGAGCAGCACCAGCAGUCCAGCAGCGAGGCAGAGCAGCACUGAGGCUCACCUGCCUGAAGAGGAGAAGAGCACAAGGGGCCGGCGGCUCGAGGAGGGGCGUGAGACGAAGGAGCAGGAGGGGCGCGAGACGAAGGCGAUGGUGGAGCUUCAGAUCCGCGACGUGGGGCCGGCGACGGUGGAGCUUCAGAUCCGCGGCGGCGGGCGUCCAGCGGCCGGCGGUGCGAGGAGGGCUCGACGGGCGCGUCCAGCAGCCGGCGGCGCGUCCAGGUGAGGAGGGGAAAGAAAGGAUUAGGUCUCCCCCGGGAUGAGGCAUCGUAUUUAUACUCCCCCAGUUUUUUGAGUCGUUCGACUCGAACAUGUCGACUAGUCUGGACUAGUCGAUGACUGGCUCGACUCGUACAAGUAGUCUACACGAGAAACCGAGUCGACAGGCAGUUUGCGACUCAUAGACUAGUCGAGCGACUAGUCUAGACUAGUCGUUCGACUCGUAAUCGUUGGUCGCAUCGAACUUAUUAUUAUUGUUUUGUUCUAAACCUUGAAACUUCUGGUGCAUUAUGCUACAUAUUAUAUGAAAUGCAUCUAUGAAAUGUAACGAGUCUUCAUGCUUUGGACCAUU
This is a long non-coding RNA of Triticum aestivum (bread wheat), 4695 nucleotides long. RefSeq lists it as uncharacterized. NCBI's taxonomy places the organism in Eukaryota, Viridiplantae, Streptophyta, Magnoliopsida, Poales, Poaceae. The record is from RefSeq and is a predicted model, not a curated record. The transcript has 5 exons.